Molecule: long non-coding RNA, 1238 nt
Organism: Bubalus bubalis (water buffalo)
Lineage: Eukaryota; Metazoa; Chordata; Mammalia; Artiodactyla; Bovidae
Exons: 2
Source: RefSeq, a predicted model, not a curated record
AUAUGUUUAAAACCUGAGACACCAGAUACUAAUAAAAGUCUGGAUGAGCUCCAUAUCUCAGUUCUCUGCCCUCAAAGAAUACAGAGGAGAUAGAUGUCAGCAGUUGAUAUGUGUCAAUAUAUGCCAGCUACUUGGAAUGUAUUAUUUCACUGUAAUCUCUAUAACAGCUUUUAUACAGAUAUAAUCAUUCCCACUUUAGUAAUAGUUUGCAUGAGGCAGGGUCAGCAUUCAAUCCUACAAGCAUGUCUUGCCUUGGAGCCCUUAAUUCUCCAGGUACCCAAACUCCUAGGUAAGAAUAUCAGUUCUCCCAGGUGAUUUGCUCAGAAUUACAUGAGAAAAUUUAACAACUGGGCUAGAGGCCUUGAAUAGGAGGAAACGCGGAAGACAUAGUCCAAUGAAUGAGAAGUAGGAAAGGAGAGUAGAAAAGUUGGAGUAGCCUAAGGCAGCUAAUAUUGGGGUUAAAAGAAUCCCCAGGAAGAGCACUGCAUAUCCAUGAUGGGAUGGGAAAGGCAGCCGUUUUUUUAAUCAGGAUGAGAAGAUUAGAGGAGGAUAAGGAAAGGAUGGCUACAGAGGUUAAUAAAAUUAAGAUGGACCGCACAUGGAGGCACCCAGCAACUGUGGGCCUGUGGUGGGAAGUGGGAAGUGAUGGUGAGGGCAAAUCAGAAGAAGAAGAGAGUUAAAUUUUAUUAUUACUUCUGGAUCCCAGCUCGAACCAGCUUGAAAUUGACCUCAUUCUCACCAUUCCAUGUCCUAAUGUGGGGACUAGCAUCACUAAUGUAAAAUCUACUUAAGCUUGCCUUUGAGACUUUGCAUCUGAAAUAUUGAGGUGACCCUGACAUUGGAAUCCUGGUCACUUGCCCAAUGUUAAGAUGAUGAGACAUAUUUCCGGCUCCCACGUGUCUUCCACUGAUAAGAGUUGUGUGAAGCUGUGGUGAUGCUCAAGCCUAGCUGCAUUAUUAGACUCACCUGGGCAGUUUUUAGAACUAAAAAGUCUGGGCCUCAGCCCAGUAAAACCGAACCAGAACUGUGGGGACAGGAAGGGCCUGGGCAAUGGUAGGUUUCAAACCCUCCCAAGGGGGUUCUAAAGUGCAGCAAGGGCUUAGAACUAAUGAGAGCAUCUUGCUCUCUGAACUGCAUAGUCAAAGAAACAAAGGAUGAGAUGUUAUGUAUUGAAUCCUCAAGCAAGUUUUAUAUUCUUAUAUGUUAGCUAGGACCUCUGCUGUGAGAUAAUUUGUCAA